This 548-nucleotide ribosomal RNA is filed under the name uncultured bacterium. RNAcentral's name for it is "bacterial SSU rRNA". It matches the Rfam family "Bacterial small subunit ribosomal RNA", at positions 968 to 1509 of the family's 1533-position model. The record is from RNAcentral.
CCUUAACCUGGUCUUGACAUAGUAAGAACUUUCCAGAGAUGGAUUGGUGCCUUCGGGAACUUACAUACAGGUGCUGCAUGGCUGUCGUCAGCUCGUGUCGUGAGAUUGUUCGGGUUAAGUCCCGCAACGAGCCGCAACCCUUUUUCCUUAUUUGCCAGCGGGUUAAGCCGGGAACUUUUAAGGAUACUGCCAGUGACAAACUGGAGGAAGGCGGGGACGACGUCAAGUCAUCAUGGCCCUUACGACCAGGGCUACACACGUGCUACAAUGGUCGGUACAAAGGGUUGCUACCUCGCGAGAGGAUGCUAAUCUCAAAAAGCCGAUCGUAGUCCGGAUUGGAGUCUGCAACUCGACUCCAUGAAGUCGGAAUCGCUAGUAAUCGCGGAUCAGAAUGCCGCGGUGAAUACGUUCCCGGGCCUUGUACACACCGCCCGUCACACCAUGGGAGUUUGUUGCACCAGAAGUAGGUAGUCUAACCGCAAGGAGGGACGCUUACCACGGUGUGGCAGAUGACUGGGGUGAAGUCGUAACAAGGUAGGCGUAGAUGA